UACGUAGGGUGCGAGCGUUGUCCGGAAUUAUUGGGCGUAAAGGGCUCGUAGGCGGUCUGUCGCGUCGGGAGUGAAAACUCAGGGCUUAACCCUGAGCCUGCUUCCGAUACGGGCAGACUAGAGGUAUGCAGGGGAGAACGGAAUUCCUGGUGUAGCGGUGGAAUGCGCAGAUAUCAGGAGGAACACCGGUGGCGAAGGCGGGUCUCUGGGCAACAACUGACGCUGAGGAGCGAAAGCGUGGGGAGCAAACAGG
Molecule: ribosomal RNA, 253 nt
Filed under: uncultured bacterium
Lineage: Bacteria
Description: partial 16S ribosomal RNA
Rfam family: Bacterial small subunit ribosomal RNA
Source: RNAcentral